RNAcentral lists this ribosomal RNA (446 nucleotides) under Fowlea sp. Its description in RNAcentral is "partial large subunit ribosomal RNA". It matches the Rfam family "Bacterial large subunit ribosomal RNA", at positions 1917 to 2581 of the family's 2925-position model. The record is from RNAcentral. Lineage: Eukaryota; Metazoa; Chordata; Lepidosauria; Squamata; Natricidae.
GAACAAUUAAACGGCCGCGGUACCCUAACCGUGCAAAGGUAGCAAAAUCAUUUGUCUAUUAACUGUAGACCUGUAUGAAAGGCAAAAUGAGGGUUUAACUGUCUCUUAUAGUUAAUCUAUUAAACUGAUCUCCCAGUAAAAAAGCUGGGAUACUCUCAUAAGACCAGAAGACCCUGUGAAGCUUUAAUCAAACUAUUAAACCUCAUAAUAACUACUUUAGGUUGGGGCGACCUUGGAAACAAAAAGAACUUCCAAACACUACACACCACACCCACUAUAGGCCCACAAGCCAACUAACGACCCAGUAAUACUGAUAAAUGAACAAAGUUACUCCAGGGAUAACAGCGCUAUCUUCUUCAAGAGCCCAUAUCAAAAAGAAGGUUUACGACCUCGAUGUUGGAUCAGGACAUCCCAAUGGUGCAGCCGCUAUUAAAGGUUCGUUUGUU